GCCGACAGCUAGCUCUCUGUAGCUCUCACAUGGUCACCCACUGAAGCUAAGCAGAGCUGUGCCCGAUCAGUACCUGGAUGGGAGAGGACACGGAAAAGCUAGGUUGCUGCCGAAA
Molecule: ribosomal RNA, 115 nt
Filed under: Danio rerio (zebrafish)
Lineage: Eukaryota; Metazoa; Chordata; Actinopteri; Cypriniformes; Danionidae
Source: RNAcentral